This 240-nucleotide unclassified non-coding RNA is filed under the name soil metagenome. RNAcentral's name for it is "partial contains 5.8S ribosomal RNA, internal transcribed spacer 2, and large subunit ribosomal RNA". The record is from RNAcentral.
AACGCACGAGACCUGCGGACCUGCGGAGGGAUCAUUACCGAGUUAUUCAACUCCCAAAACCCUGUGAACUUUACCAAUGUUGCUUCGGCGGAGUCGUCCCGGGUGCGCUCGAAAGGGCGUGUCCCGGAUCCAUGGCGCCCGCCGGGGGAUCUAUACUCUUGUUUUUAUAGUGGUAUCUUCUGAGUGGCAUAAGCAAAAUAAAUCAAAACUUUCAGCAACGGAUCUCUAGAUCGGAAGAGC